RNAcentral lists this ribosomal RNA (253 nucleotides) under uncultured bacterium. RNAcentral describes it as "partial 16S ribosomal RNA". It matches the Rfam family "Bacterial small subunit ribosomal RNA", at positions 524 to 776 of the family's 1533-position model. The record is from RNAcentral.
UACGUAGGGCGCAAGCGUUGUCCGGAAUUACUGGGCGUAAAGAGCUCGUAGGUGGUUUGUCGCGUUGUUCGUGAAAACUCACAGCUUAACUGUGGGCGUGCGGGCGAUACGGGCAGACUGGAGUACUGCAGGGGAGACUGGAAUUCCUGGUGUAGCGGUGGAAUGCGCAGAUAUCAGGAGGAACACCGGUGGCGAAGGCGGGUCUCUGGGCAGUAACUGACGCUGAGGAGCGAAAGCGUGGGGAGCGAACAGG